ACACCAGUCAUUGGGGAGUAGCCUGUUCCAGAAGACUUCUGGAAAAUUCGUAUCAACAUACUCGUUUGCAUAAAACGUGGUACGAAUGCCAAAUCGGUUGGCAAGACCAUAGACACAUAA
RNAcentral lists this small RNA (120 nucleotides) under Xenorhabdus cabanillasii JM26. Its description in RNAcentral is "yybP-ykoY". The stretch from base 1 to 102 matches the Rfam family "Manganese Mn2+ riboswitch aptamer (yybP-ykoY)". Rfam says of the family: This RNA was originally discovered in E. coli during a large scale screen and was named SraF. The family was later found to exist upstream of related families of protein genes in many bacteria, including the the yybP and ykoK genes in B. subtilis. Lineage: Bacteria; Pseudomonadati; Pseudomonadota; Gammaproteobacteria; Enterobacterales; Morganellaceae. The record is from RNAcentral.